Long non-coding RNA from Acipenser ruthenus (sterlet), 438 nucleotides. RefSeq lists it as uncharacterized. The record is from RefSeq and is a predicted model, not a curated record. The transcript is spliced from 3 exons. NCBI's taxonomy places the organism in Eukaryota, Metazoa, Chordata, Actinopteri, Acipenseriformes, Acipenseridae.
AAAGGGUGCCAAGUGUCAAGAUGGAGCUGUGAAACCGUCUCCCACUCAAUACAGUCAGACGGCACAUCGUGGGGUGUUUUUGUUUGUAAGAUGAUUUGAGCAGUCUGUGCCUGUUUUGUGGAGAGCAGGACAAUCUGGAGGAUGCAGUGUCACAACAGAAAUGGGAGACACCAGCAGCUCCGGGAACUUAGUGUCUUGUCCCUCUCCUCUCUGCGCUGCCUCAUCUUCCAGAGCAUCCCUGAGCCUUGGAGACAGACAGCCCCUCACCUCCCUCAGCACCUUCGCUGCCUGCCUCUCACAUCGCCAGCCCAGCAUGCCUUUCAAUUCAGCUGCACUCAGCCAGCAAGAUAGUCCAGGCACCAAAAGCUGUCCUAACCUAGUAAGACCUGCUUUUACAAAACUGCCCUGCAGUGCUAAAGACUGAAGGCACUGAGUUGA